Non-coding RNA from Pelobates cultripes (western spadefoot toad), 316 nucleotides. The record is from the annotation of a GenBank genome assembly. Lineage: Eukaryota; Metazoa; Chordata; Amphibia; Anura; Pelobatidae.
GACAGAUGGUUCUGUCACAAGCCAGUAGGUUAAUUGCCUAAUGCAGAGCCCUACAUCAAGCAUGACAUGCCAUGAGAACAAACCUUGCCUGGAAUUGCUCAGUGAAUGCCCAUUAAUGAUGGGCUACCAACCCUGGGAACCGUGAGUCCAUCUUUCUGCAUGCACAGACGCCACCCCCUAAGCCCUGCGCGCUCCUGCCCUGACAAGUAUUAGAGUCCAGUAGCCAGAAAACGGCCUCUGGGCCUUCUCAAUGCUUGUGAGUGGUGCUGUCCUGUGUGACCCUUCCGACGGGGCGGUGUGCGAGCAUGGAGUCAUG